CGCGUAGGCGGCCCUGUAAGUCGGGUGUGAAAGCCCUCGGCUCAACCGAGGAACUGCGCUCGAUACUGCAAGGCUUGAGGACUGGAGGGGAGAGUGGAAUUCCCGGUGGAGCGGUGAAAUGCGUAGAGAUCGGGAAGAACGCCGGCGGCGAAAGCGACUCUCUGGUCAGCCCCUGACGCUGAGGCGCGAAAGCUAGGGGAGCAAACGGGAUUAGAUACCCCGGUAGUCCUAGCCGUAAACGAUGGGUGCUAGGUAGUGGUCGUUCCUAUGCGGUCACUGCUGGAGCAAAUGUCUUAAGCACCCCGCCUGGGAAGUACGGUCGCAAGACUAAA
Molecule: ribosomal RNA, 332 nt
Filed under: uncultured bacterium
Lineage: Bacteria
Description: bacterial SSU rRNA
Rfam family: Bacterial small subunit ribosomal RNA
Source: RNAcentral